Non-coding RNA from Myodes glareolus (Bank vole), 3708 nucleotides. The record is from RefSeq and is a predicted model, not a curated record. NCBI's taxonomy places the organism in Eukaryota, Metazoa, Chordata, Mammalia, Rodentia, Cricetidae.
ACAAGUGUCUCUUUACAACACCCAUAACCAUAAACCUUUACAUAUAGGCAAAGGACAUAUGAGGAUAAUAAAUUGCUGACAAUCAUUACAAGACAACGAAUUUCCAAAAUUGCCAUUUAGUGCCCUGUAUGUGUGCCACCUACUGCUGGGCAUUGAAUCCUUUCUUAAGAGUGGUUUGUAUGUGCAGCGAGACUCCAAUCUGCAUGAAGCACAUCAUUCAUUUGCUUUCAGGUAUUAAUGGGACUCUGAAAAGUUUCUCUUUUCUUGUACCAAAUGACUGUCUGAGAGCAGAGAGCUAUAAAUGUAGCAUCCCCAUUGUUUCCAUUCUGCUUUCAUCAAGAACCACGCAUACUGUAUGUUCUAAUCUAAUUCUCUUUUCAGGUACAUAUUUCUAUUGUGUGUCUAAUACACUUGUUUAUUCUAGCCGGUCUGGAAACUCCAGUAUUUGAGAUGAAGCAAGGCUAUAUGCUCCGUAGAAGCAUUUACGUGGUCACACUAGCACAAAGAGGGGAAGGAAGCAGGGAAGUCCGCAUCUCUUACUGGACCAAGAAGCCAGUCACACAGUCACAGGCGGGAUGAUGGAUAAUACAGGAAGGAAAGUUUCUGAUUGGGAAGAAAUAACUCCAUGCUGUCUGAUGCCUCCAUUCAUGACAGCUCCUUUUCAAGCCAAAUAGAUCCAAGGGAGUGUGGACCAAGAGAGUCAAUUUUGAAGUUCAAGUGCGGUAUUUGAUUUUCAUUAAGGAGAUGAUCAUUAAAGAUUCGAUGCAAAGAAUGGAUAAUUUGAUGGAACAUCUUGAGGAAGAUCGAGGAGGCAGAAAAAUUGUGAGUAUAAUGUAAUCAUUUCACAAUAAUAGGUCCUUCAUGUCCUCCAUAUCUCCCAACCCAUCUAAGACUGUGUCUUCUCCGUCUGUUUCUUCUGAAGACGAACAGAUUCUCAUCAGGAGGGAGAUUUACUCUAUGUAGAUAUCUAGAUGGAUCAAAUGGAUGUUGUGAUACAUGAUCUCAUCAUCCUGUUCAAGAUGAUCUCAGACUCAGGCACUGAGGAGGUCCUUCUCUGCCUUCUCCUGAGAAGCUUUUGGUGAAGAUACAGACCACACACCUAGUUGAUGUUUUGGGCAGCCAGGGAACUAACAAGAAAUCUCAGUUUACACUUAUUCUUGAUAUGAAUAAUUAUGCUUCCAUAGUAAUAUACUAUUCCUGUCUUCUGUGAAAAGGAGUGCUGGGAAGAGGGUGAUGUGCAGAACCCGGGCUUACAGCAGCAGUCAGAUCUGGACACUCCAGUAUUUGAGAUGAAGCAAGGUAAGGGGCCUAUCCAUAUUUCCAUGGGAAGAACUUUUCUAUCAAGUAUAUAGUCAAGGAUACUUACACCCUUCUCUUAUAAAGAAAAAGUUAUGCUAUGUUCAAUGGAUGCUUAUGUAUGUGAACCUGGACUUAAUGGAACUUGGGUAGACAUAGGAAAUGAAAGAAGAACAGAUAUUCAGACACACGUAUUGAAGGUCUGGAGUCCAUAGGCUGUACUUCCUUUGGUGAAUAUAAUCCACUGUGACUUGCUCGUCAGUGCACUUAUUGUACACGUCUGGAUUCAGGAGUUCCUGAAUCCUGCCCCAAGAAUUUAAAGCUGCUGUGGUACAUAGGGACAAGGUGUGUUCCUUGCAAAGAGCCUGAUCCUGAGGAACAGAGGGUGAUUGUGUAAUUCUCAUUUCACAUCCAACAUGAAGAAUUCAACAGCUCUUUUCGUUUGUCACUUCAGUGAGGUACAUAUUGUUUCUACUGUGUAUCGAAUACAUUUGGUUACUCUUCCCUGCAUGAACACUCCAGUAUUUGAGAUGAAACAAGGUUAAAAAAAAAAAAGAAAAAAGAAGGAAAGUUAUGCUUUACUCAAACGGAUGCUGAUGUAUGAUUUUGUUCAGGAAAGUGAUUUGCUCCAUUUGGAUAAAUAGAUGAAUCGCAUUCAUGUGUGUGGAAUGCCGGUGACCUUGGAACAUGAAAAGAAUUCUGGGAAGAGGAUGAUUUGCAGAUUCCAGGCUUUCAAUAGAAGCCAGAGUUUCACAAGCCUGCUCAUUAUAAUCUCAGACUAAGGAGUGGAGGAAGUGCUUCUCCCCAACUUUUGAGAGGUUUCACUGAAGACACACUCACCAAACCUAGCUGGUGGUCCUCAUCUGACUCUCCUGUUCAAUUGUUCCAAUUAGUUGUUUCAAUUAAAGCAGUAAAGCCAUACUUUGUCUCUGCAUUCCAAGAAGUUGACACUGGAAGAGACACCUUCCUGAGUUUAUGCACCUGACUGUGUUCUUCAGUAAGGUUCCAGUUCAAGCGGUAAAGCCAUACUUUCUCUCUGCAUCCCAAAAAGCUGACACUGGAGGAGAUCCCUUCCCUGAGUUUAUGGUACAUAUUGUUUCUACUGUGUGUCAAAUACAUUUGCUUACUCCUCCCUUCCUGGACAUUACAGUAUUAGAGAUGAAGCAAGGGGUGAGUGUUUAGAUUUGUAGUCUUCACUUCACAUCUAUCAUGCAACACUCAACACCUGUUUUUAACUGUCACUUCAGUGAGGUAUGGGCAGCCAGGAACGAACAAGCAAUCUCUAUUUACACUUAUCAUUGAUGUGAGCAAUCAUGCUUCCAUAGUAAUAUAUUAUUCCUUUCUUCUGUGAAAUGGGAUGCCAGGAAAAAGAUGAUGUGUACAGCCCAGGAUUUCAACUGCAGUCAGGGUCUCACGUGCUUGCUCAUGAUAAUCUCAGUCUCAAGCAUGGAAGAAGUGCUUCUCCCCAAUUCCUGAGAAGGUUUCACUGAAGACUCACUCACCACACCUCGCUGGUGUCAUUUACCUGAAGACAAUGUCCACUAAAUGUUCUGUGAAGUAGCAUCCACUUGUAUCUUUUUUGUUCUUACUUUUGGGGAAGUAUUGAACCUUUUGGAUUCGAGCAUCUGACUGUGCUCUUCAGUAAGGUUCCGGUUCAAGUGGUAAAGCCAUACUUUCUCUCUGCAUCCCAGGAAGUUGACACUGGAUGAGACAUGUUCCCUGAAUUUAUGAAUGUCUGGUAGUUUCUUCUUAGAAGCAGGAAUCCUGAUGUACCACUCCAUCUAUUGACCUCAGAGGAAGAAACUCACAUGGAAUGGCAGAUUGAUAACACUCCAGACUCUUGUCAGGAGGGAUAUUUACUUUGUGUUAAUAUCUAGAUGGAUCCUGUUGAUGACCCUGGGAAUGGCAGUGAAAAAGAAACAUGAAGGGAUUGGGAAAUGAAUGAGCAGUCUCCACCAACAGAAUGUCAGCCACCUGAGCAACUGCAUCUACAUAAAAUCUGCAAGAACUUUGGAAUAUAUUCUAGUCACAAAAGAACAGAGUUAAGCACAACUUCUUAAUAGGGGGUUGAGCACUUGAAUGGGCAACGCUGCAAGUUACUUGGUGACAGCUUGGACAAACUGCUUACCAGAUUUGAGGAGGGUCCCACAAGCUUGCUCAUGAUAAUCUUAGAAUCAGGCAUGAAGGAACAGCUUAUCACCAACUUCUGAGAAGUUUCCACUGAAGACACACUCACCACACCCAGCUGGUGGUAUUACACAUGAACUCAUUAUCCUGCUGAAGAUGAUCUCAGACUCAGGCACUGAGGAGGUCCUUUUUUGCUUUCUCCUGAGAAGCUUUUGAUGAAGACACAGAUUACACACAUAGCUGGUGGUAUUGUAAUUCGAGGGGCUUUCUGCCUUUUUUAUUAUU